GGCGCGCUAAAGGGAGGAUGGAAGAAUAGUUCAAGUCGAUGUGCAGUUUCAUUGAUAAAUCUUGAAUUGAAGCAAUGGCUUUCAGAUUGUUUCCCAGAGAAAACAUGGGGAAAGAAGGUAUCAGAGAAGGUGAUUUCGCUAUACAAUUCUCUUCUCAAGAAAGGAAAGCCACAGUCUUGGUCUCAUUUCUCGUUUCCUCUCCUUCUCAAGAUUUUGUUGUCGCUGAUGCUUCAAAAAUUUCCAUUCAUUGGGUCCAGAUGCUCAAAUGCCAAGUGUUGUUGAGGUCUAAUUUCGAUUGUUGUUGCUUCCAUUUCUGUUUGAGAAGUUGUUUCCUUAGGAACGGG
Molecule: unclassified non-coding RNA, 344 nt
Filed under: Hevea brasiliensis (rubber tree)
Lineage: Eukaryota; Viridiplantae; Streptophyta; Magnoliopsida; Malpighiales; Euphorbiaceae
Source: RNAcentral